Long non-coding RNA from Hyla sarda, 1216 nucleotides. RefSeq lists it as uncharacterized. NCBI's taxonomy places the organism in Eukaryota, Metazoa, Chordata, Amphibia, Anura, Hylidae. The record is from RefSeq and is a predicted model, not a curated record. The transcript is spliced from 7 exons.
ACGGUCCGUGUCAUCAGCCACACAGGUUAGAUGAUCCACAUCCAGCUCCGUUACAGCAAGAUCUGACCUUGGAUCCUGCUGGGGUUCCUCAGCCUGAUAGUCCGGAUAUCACUUUCAUCAUUGCACUCCAGUCACAGCAGUUGGCCAACCGGCACAGCAGUUGAGCCAGUUAUCCACCAUGAUGCAGCAGUUGCUAACUGCUCAGCAGCAACCGUCACAACCACAGCCUCCUCCAGUGCUGCCUUCCACUGCCACCGUCUCCUCCGGAACAAAACUCUGCUUGACACUUCCAGAGAAAUAUGUGGGGACCUUUGGAUAGGGGAAAAGAUGUCUUAGGGCCGGAGUACCCCUUUAAUGUUUUGAGUGCAAUUUUUUUUUCAGUUACAAGUUUCCAAUUGGAAGAAUUUAUUUUUGACUUCUUGUACAAACUGAAAACUGGAGAAUUUUGUUUUGUUGCUAGAGUACUUCUUUAGAACCACCGUUUAUUUAAUGGAAAAAGCAGCAGAAAACUUGCUCAGAAUAUCUGCGAUAGUUGCCUUAACUUUUUUUUAAUGUUUUCUACACUUAUUCUCGCAGGAAGAUGCUUUUUGCACUGGCAUAUGGAAAUAUCUGGACUGUGUUUUUUGGAAUAAAUCCUCGGCAUGUGCAUAAUGUGUAAACAGGAUUGGCAAACCGCUCUCUUCCCUGACCUCUGAGAGAUCCGUGCUGACGACCAGUGACGCCGAGGUUUUGGUCGCAGAUAGUUUACUGUCCAUACACAUUUAACAGCUAUCAGCAAAACAAGGAAGAAGACAACAGUGAAUCAGCCAGUCCUGACAAAAUCAGAAGGCCUGCAGCUGUAAGCUCCGCUGCUCUCCUUUGUCCAGACUCUGCUACAGCGUGAACUUAGGGCAGAAGCAGGCAUCAGUGACGUAGCACCUGCUGGGGCAUGCCCCCCUUCCUCCCCUCGCACGUGGAAGGAUCCUGAGCUUCUGAAUCGGCUACUAAAAAGUGACCAGAUGUUAUCAAACGAUAAAGGUGUCAAACCGAGAUGAAGUUAGAGCAGCUUCGACAUGAAGGACAGUAGAAAGGAGAAGAAUAUUAGUUAUGUACAUUAUGAAUACUAACUAAAUGGUGGAAUCGACUUCUAAAGGAGAGGAACAUGGAUCUUAAAAUAAAAUCUACACUUGAAUACAUUUAUCAAAAAAAAUGUGUAAGGAUUAAUAAAAAUCAUUCU